Molecule: long non-coding RNA, 1730 nt
Organism: Gallus gallus (chicken)
Lineage: Eukaryota; Metazoa; Chordata; Aves; Galliformes; Phasianidae
Source: Ensembl
CCCUGGUUCACAGGUGUUAUAUGAAAGCUCAGGACUCAGAGUGAAGCUCUGUCUCCUUGUUUGCUUCUCUUUGCUUGUGUGUCUUCUACUGUUUUGUAUCUCACUCCACUCUCCAGAUCCUGCAGCUGCAACUCACAAUUCCAGGCAAGUUUCCCUAAUCAGGAUGCAGUGUUGGCUGACCAUAUGCUUUGAAACCCGAGCUAUAUUUCACCCAGACCUCUGAAGUAGCUGAGCAGCCACUCAACCUGGAGGACAGCAGCUGGCAGUGAGAGGCGGGCAGAGACGUGACCCAGAAGAGCAUCUGCUGAGAAGAGGACCAAAGAUCACAGAAAAUCAACAAUGUCCGUGAGGUGACCGCGAGCCGAGACUUUGAAACCACAGCUGGGAACGCUGAGGUAAAACUUAUCAAAUGAAAAGGACAGCAAAAAUAACCAUCAGCGGGGUUUGCUUCCUUCCCUCCUACAUCUCCUUGUGCAACCCUGCACACACAGCUUUGCCUGAAAGCUUCUGACCCUAAAAUCAGGCUUUAUAUCACAUGCUUUGAAUAAAACGAUCUGUGACAGGCAAAGGGAGCACCGGGCUAAUCCCGAAAGUAUCUAGUUCGUGUCAUGCUUUCCUGGAAUUGUGUAGCAACCCAAUGUUGCAGGCUGGGGCUCCCUGAGCUGCAUCAUGGUCCACGGGACACAGCCAGCUGACGGUGUUUUUUCUAGAUCCAUCUCUCACUUGCAGACCAGUUACGUUGCGCAGUCCCAAAUGCUCACAUUGUGCAAUCCAGGAAUCUGGGAAAUACAUCAUGCAAGAAGGUUGCAGGAGUGGGAUGAGAUAAGACACGGAGAGAAAGGCAGGGAGAAGAGGCAGCCCCAGCAUAAAGCCACCAGGAGAGCAGGGCAAUGUGAGAGUGAGGCCGCCAUGUGAUUUAGCUCCAUUUUGGAAAGCAUCCUCGUGUGCAUGGCCCAUCCCCGGCCAGGUGUCCAACCUCAGAGUCGGAGCACAAAACAAGAGCACACAGAAGCUUUGGGGCUGGGGUGAGGUGCACAGCACGCUACAUUUUCUGUCCCGGACAGAUAAUAACUGCAGGGUUAUUUGUGGAGCGGGGCUUCAGCUGGGGCUGGAUGCAGAUCGGGGUUCAGUCUCCUGGCAGUGGGUUUGGGAGGGGCCCCCCAGGAGUAAAGGAGACAAAGGUGGCAUCUAAGGAGGCAAUGAGUGCAGGGCUGGCCAGUCCUAGCCAACAUGGUGCUGGUCCAAAGGAGGGCAGGGAACUGUGCCUGUGACCAUAGAGCUCCGGAGUAAUCCCAGGAGGGAGGAGUCUUACUGUUUUGGCACUGGAUUGUGCUUGGGAAUACUCAGUGCAGUUCCCAAUGGAUUCUUCUCUGGUCUGGUGAUCCUUCAGCCCCACAUCCCAAAAUGUCCCUGAAACAAGGAGUCCUGGGAAGGAGUCUCCCGUAAGCACCCCACAGCCACCAAGGUUCAGCCUUUCACCUCAACUUGCCCCCAACCCAGGCAGCUGAGAUCUUCCUCCCGUGGCUCAUAAACACAGAGAGACCCUUCUGCACAGCUGAGCUGUUUAAUACUUCAAUUGGCAGUUUUCAACCUGCAGCCCCUGAAAUCCUGAGGGCAGGAGGUAAAUAACCCACAGAUGAGAAGCUCAUUGUCAGGACUUUAAAUUUCCCACAGGGGGAAUCCCACAUCUGCUGGGGAAAAUAUCUGUGCCCAUAAACAUAAAGCGGUCC